Molecule: ribosomal RNA, 1437 nt
Filed under: uncultured marine bacterium
Lineage: Bacteria
Description: bacterial SSU rRNA
Rfam family: Bacterial small subunit ribosomal RNA
Source: RNAcentral
GAGUUUGAUCCUGGCUCAGAACGUACGCUGGCGGCACGCCUAACACAUGCAAGUCGAACGAAGUAGCAAUACUUAGUGGCAGACGGGUGAGUAACAUGUAGGUAUCUGCCCUUUGGCCUGGAAUAACACGAGGAAACUUGUGCUAAUACCGGAUAAGUCUUUACGGAGAAAGCUUUAUGCACCAUUGGAUGAGCCUGCACUUGAUUAGUUUGUUGGUGGGGUAAUGGCCUACCAAGACUGUGAUCAAUAGCUGAUUUGAGAGGAUGAUCAGCCACAUUGGGACUGAGACACGGCCCAAACUCCUACGGGAGGCAGCAGUGGGGAAUCUUGCACAAUGGAGGAAACUCUGAUGCAGCGAUGCCGCGUGAGUGAAGAAGGCCCUUGGGUUGUAAAGCUCUUUCGUCGGGGAAGAAAAUGACUGUACCCGAAUAAGAAGGUCCGGCUAACUUCGUGCCAGCAGCCGCGGUAAUACGAAGGGACCUAGCGUAGUUCGGAAUUACUGGGCUUAAAGAGUUCGUAGGUGGUUGAAAAAGUUAGUGGUGAAAUCCCAGAGCUUAACUCUGGAACUGCCAUUAAAACUUUUCAGCUAGAGUAUGAUAGAGGAAAGCAGAAUUUCUAGUGUAGAGGUGAAAUUCGUAGAUAUUAGAAAGAAUACCAAUUGCGAAGGCAGCUUUCUGGAUCAUUACUGACACUGAGGAACGAAAGCAUGGGUAGCGAAGAGGAUUAGAUACCCUCGUAGUCCAUGCCGUAAACGAUGUGUGUUAGACGUUGGAAAUUUAUUUUUCAGUGUCGCAGGGAAACCGAUAAAACACACCGCCUGGGGAGUACGACCGCAAGGUUAAAACUCAAAUGAAUUGACGGGGACCCGCACAAGUAGUGGAGCAUGUGGUUUAAUUCGAAGAUACGCGCAGAACCUUACCAACACUUGACAUGUCCGUCGCGACUCUAAGAGAUUAGAGUUUUCGGUUCGGCCGGACGAAACACAGGUGCUGCAUGGCUGUCGUCAGCUCGUGUCGUGAGAUGUUGGGUUAAGUCCCGCAACGAGCGCAACCCUCACUUUUAGUUGCCAUCAUUAAGUUGGGCACUCUGAAAGAACUGCCAGUGAUAAGCUGGAGGAAGGUGGGGAUGACGUCAAGUCCUCAUGGCCCUUACGUGUUGGGCUACACACGUGCUACAAUGGUAUCUACAACAGGAAGCAAGACUGCGAAGUUAAGCAAAUCCCUAAAAGAUACCUCAGUUCGGAUUGCACUCUGCAACUCGAGUGCAUGAAGCUGGAAUUACUAGUAAUCGUGGAUCAGCGUGCCACGGUGAAUGCGUUCCCGGGUCUUGUACACACCGCCCGUCACACCAUGGGAGUUGGUUCUACCUUAAGGCAAGGUUUUAAACCCUUGACCACGGUAUAGUCAGCGACUGGGGUGAAGUCGUAACAAGGUAACC